AACCAUUCUCACCUGCGGCUAGACCUGCGGAAGGAUCAUUACCGAGUGUAGGGCCCUCUGGGUCCAACCUCCCACCCUUGUCUAUCGUACCUUGUUGCUUCGGCGGGCCCGCCAUUCGUGGCCGCCGGGGGGCUUCUGCCCCCGGGCCCGUGCCCGCCGGAGACACCAACACGAACACUGUCUGAAGGUUGCAGUCUGAGUUGAUUUAUUCAAUCGUUAAAACUUUCAACAACGGAUCUC
This 240-nucleotide unclassified non-coding RNA is filed under the name soil metagenome. Its description in RNAcentral is "partial contains 5.8S ribosomal RNA, internal transcribed spacer 2, and large subunit ribosomal RNA". The record is from RNAcentral.